RNAcentral lists this ribosomal RNA (802 nucleotides) under uncultured bacterium. Its description in RNAcentral is "bacterial SSU rRNA". It matches the Rfam family "Bacterial small subunit ribosomal RNA", at positions 8 to 806 of the family's 1533-position model. The record is from RNAcentral.
AGAGUUUGUUUCUGGCUCAGGAUGAACGCUGGCGGCGUGCUUAACACAUGCAAGUCGAACGGACCCAUUCGAACGGAGAUUCGUCAAAGUUUGAUGAAGGUUAGUGGCGGACGGGUGAGUAACGCGUGGGUAACCUACCUUAUACAGAGGGAUAACGAUUGGAAACGGUCGCUAAUACCUCAUAAGCCCACAGUACCGCAUGGUACAGGGGGAAAACGAUUUCUCGCUAUUAGAUGGACCCGCGUUUGAUUGGCCAGUUGGCGGUGUAACGGACCACGAAAGCAACGGUCAAUAGUCGGACUUGAGAGGUCGAACGGCCACAUUGGGAUUAAGACAGCCCCCAAAUUCCUACGGGAGGCAGCAGGGGGGAAAUAUUGCACAAUGGGGGGAAACCCUAAUGCAGCGACGCCGCGUGAGUGAAGAAGUUUUUUCGGAAUGUAAAGCUCUAUCAGCAGGGAAGCAAAUGACGGUACCUGACUAAGAAGCCCCGGCUAACUACGUGCCAGCAGCCGCGGUAAUACGUAGGGGGCAAGCGUUAUCCGGAUUUACUGGGUGUAAAGGGAGCGUAGACGGACAGACAAGUCUGAAGUGAAAUUAAGAGGCUCAACCUCGUAACUGCUUUGGAAACUGUAGGUCUAGAGUACCGGAGGGGCAAGCGGAAUUCCUAGUGUAGCGGUGAAAUGCGUAGAUAUUAGGAAGAACACCGGUGGCGAAGGCGGCUUGCUGGACGGUAACUGACGUUGAGGCUCGAAAGCGUGGGGAGCACCCAAAAAUUAGAUACCCUGGUAGUCCACGCCGUAAA